RNAcentral lists this transfer RNA (72 nucleotides) under Camelus bactrianus (Bactrian camel). It matches the Rfam family "tRNA". Rfam says of the family: Transfer RNA (tRNA) molecules are approximately 80 nucleotides in length. Their secondary structure includes four short double-helical elements and three loops (D, anti-codon, and T loops). The record is from Rfam by way of RNAcentral. RNAcentral also lists the same sequence under 2 other names. Lineage: Eukaryota; Metazoa; Chordata; Mammalia; Artiodactyla; Camelidae.
GAGGGUAUAGCUCAGUGACAGAGUGCGUGCUUAGCAUGCAUGAGGUCCUGGGUUCAACCCCCAGUGCCUCCA